CAUCAUGCGACAGCGUGCACCCCGGUGGGGAGCUGACGCAGGGGCCCCGUGAGGCAGGAGGUCCACGCGUCAGAAGUCCUGGCCCAGUGCAGGUGCACAGCUGGGGAAGCCUACAGUUCCACGAAGGACUUGCCCAAGCUCCCCGGGGGCACAAAGGGUAUUGGUCAUCGGGGGCGGACAGCGCCUGGGGACUUGUCACUCUGCUUCUCUUCUUCAUCUGUGAGAUGCGGGGGCGGUCACAGACCACCCCUUAGCCGGGGAAGCUGGGGAGGACAGUGUUGUAUCAAUCGGUGCUGUGCUGGGCCCUUGGUACGUCGUGAGUGCACAGUAUAUGGCAGUCACGUCCAUCAUCACGCUGGGCCAGAGGGAGAAGGGCAGGGCCUCUGGAAGCCUAGGUUCGCCUCCAUCGUCCCAGGGCCCUCCCACCCCUGGGGGAGGGCUGAUUUCUUUUCCAGGCAGAGGAACGGGGACUUUCUGGUUCUCAGCAUUCCAGUAGCCGGAGCCCCUGUCUGAGCUCUGGGACCACUGCCUGGGGUCAAGCCCUUUGAGGGCAUUUCGGUUCUUUUUGCAAACAUCUGCGGGAGGCAGGGGGCAGGGGGCAGAAGAGGGGAGAUGCCCUGGGGUAAGAGGGCUUCCUGGAGGAGGCUGCACAAGGGUGGGGGGUCCUGGAAGCUCCCACGAACUCCCGUGGGGUGGAUCCGGAGGAUUAGCAGCAAGGGCUGUCCCGGUUGGAAGUCGUGUGGCAGGGGGCUGAGCCACGUCUCCUGGCCUCCUUCAGGAAGAGUGGCCAGCUUGCAGGUUACCCGCACCCCCCCGCCUCCCGGGAUGGAUUCAGUUGCUCGGGGUCACCUUCCCUGGUCUUGUAAGAACUGUUUCUGCCUCCCAGCCGUGAAAGACACUUUCACAAAUGACUCAGUGGGAGGAUGCCAAGCGUGGGGACGAGAAACUCUUUUGUCGUCAUUCGGAGGAGCCGGUGCGGGUGGCUGGGGGCGUCUGCACAGGGCAGCCCGGGGCCACUCUUACGCAGAGGCUGCACCUUUCCUUUGGCUCCGGCUGCCCCGUCGGGGACGUCACAGGUCAGGGAGGCUCACAGACGACAGGGACAGCAUGGGCUGGGAGUCUGGCUUUUGCACGAGGACGUGACCCUCGGGUUCCGCCUUUUUAUAAGCGUGGUUCCCACCCCACGUGCUUCUCGCUCGCAGACUGGCUGGUUCUGGGGGCUGCACGGGGCCUUCUGCAGCCCCCCGCCCUGGACCCACUCGAAGCGGAAGUGGGAAGCCGUUGGCGGUGGGAACCUGCAAACAGAGUUUCCUAAACAUUUUAGUUUCAGUCGAGAAGACCUCCAGGAGCUUCUCAGAACAUUUCAAGGGUUUGCCACCAAGAUGGCCUUCUGGAAACUUGGGGUGGAAAGGUGGAGGGUAUCUGUCCGUGUUUCUCAAUCCAGAGGGAUCCGGGCAUGCGUGAGGAACGGAUUCUGUCGUUGAGGGGCGUUCCUUGUGCUCGGGCGACAGACACAGGGAGUCCGAGACGGGGCCGUGAGCGAGGAUCAUGAGGGCUUCAGAUUUAGAACGCGCCCCCUCCGCUGGCAAGCUGGGUUUUGGGGUGCAGACCUGCCCUCCAGGUGUUGCUUCCUGCCACAGAACAUCACGUUAAAGGAAACCGUGUGAUUAGAAGCCUGUGAUCCUGUCACCUGAGUACCGUGGCUGUUUUCCUUUUCUCGCGAGGCCUUCCAGGCUGCCCACGCCCCCUCGUGCAUAUAGUUUUGCCUCCUGGGGGGCGUGAACUACACGUGGAAUGUGGAUUUUGACUGCUGAUGAUGUGCAGGGUACUGGUUGUGAAAAUGGCCUGGAGAUGGUCACUGGAAACACGAGGGUAACGUGGAGACAGCGAAACGCUAAACCCUGCAGAAUGUCACCGCUGACAGUGGAGCCCAGAGGUCCCGGCUGGCGCAAACCCGGUGCAGGGCACCUUCCUGGCUGGAUCUGAGCAGCACCCGUGGAGGCUUCCGAGGCCGGGGUGACCAGUGGGAGGAUGCGAUUCAGGGGCUGGCAAAGGAGGCCCCGGGGCCACUUGUGGAUCUCCUCUUGGCCCCGGACUCCGCGAGGUCCAGCAUCCCAGGGGGUGAAUACUGAGGCCACAGCUGAGGGCUGUGCCUUUGGUCUGUAGUUGAGAGUCUGCCAGGACUUUUGGGGUGGUGAGGAAAUUCAGUCUCAGGGGGGCCCAGUCUCAGAGCAGUUUCCAACUAUGGGAUGGCUUUCUAUGCCCAGUUAUCCUUUUAGGAUACCUUCACUCAUGUCCCGGCUGUGUGAUCUUGGGAAAAUGACUCAGCCUCUCUGUGCUUUCGGUUUCCUCACCUGUAAAAAGAGAUGAUAAUAGCACUUGAUUUGGGGGAGGGGGGUUGUUGGGAGGAGGGCCUGACUGCCCAACAAAUACGAGCUGUGCUUGAACUUGAACUUGGAGCCAGGCAGGCAGGCAUGUGGGCAGUCUGGUGCCAGACGAGCAAUUCUUUCCUGGACGUUUGGAAUCAGAAGAAGAUGAUGAGGCCGGCUGGUGCUAAGAGGAGGUAGGAGGGGACGUAGGCGGGCGGGGAGCCCUCCUCGCACAGCCGGUGAGAGAUGGGCACGGGGCAUGCGGCUGCCCUGUCCAGGGAUCGAGGCCAGCACCGGGCCGGGUGGGAUUGGGGUCUGAGGCGGGGGCCUGGAUGUGUCGGAAUUACUCGGACCCUCAUGUCACAUCCAGGUUCCCCGGCCCUAGCACAUCGGAGUCUCCAGGACAAGGGACGGGUGUGGGAGGCGGAGGGCUGAGUCUGUACUUGACAUGGGCCCAAGGCAGGCUGAUGAGCAGCAGUUGGAGAAAGUCUGCACGGCCGGAAACAUCUCAAGACCUGAAGCCCUGGCCUCAGAUUCCUGGGACUUUCAGUCUGGGCAGCUGGUUGUCAUGCCGUGGACUUGAAUCUGAAGAAACGUUUGUGCUGUGCAAGAGUCCUGUGUUUCUCUGAUUUUGAGCAAAUGAAAGCCAGCCCAGCGCUGGGAGUCGGUGCCUUCCCCAAAGAGGGGGCUGGCCCCAGGGCGUGGGGGAGGGGGUGCCGGCCCAGGGCCUGCAAGCUGUCCCCUGGAGGCAUGGGGCGGAGCUGGCCAUUUCCCAGCUGUGGGCUCUCUCCCUGUGAAAUGGGGAGAGCAGCAUGACUUGGGGGGGGGCGGUGUCAGAUGAGAGGCUCUUCCCCACGGUGCCUGUGUGGGUCCAUCCAGACCGGACGGGAGGCUCAGGACUCCCUUCCUCUGGGUCAGGAGCAUCUUGUGUCCCAUGGCCCUCUGGGUCCUCCUGAAGUUUGGCCCCAGUGGGGGUCCUAUAGGUUCUGAGACCAGGAAGGAUGUCAUAGCAAGCAGCGCCCCCUUGGGCUCCAGCUCUGCCAGCGGCUUGGUAUCACUUGCCGACGGUGAAAUGCACAGAUUCCAAGCGUACAUUCUGAUUUCAAUUUGGCAGUUGUGUAUAUCUGCCCAACCACCACCCCCCGGUCCGGAUCCGGAAGGUUUCCAGCACCCGGGAGAUUCCCUGGUGCCCUUAUGCAGCGCCCCCCACCCCCCACAUGCCACAGGGGCAGCUCUGUCCUGACUUCUAUCACCACGGAUUAGUUUUGCCUGUUUGGGAACGUCCUAGAAAUGGAACCACACACCAUGUGGUCUUACUUCUACAUCGAGUAAAAGAGAAGAGGGGAGCAUGCCGUAUUCUUGGAAAGAGAAAACGGUCAUCCUGGGCUGGGGGAUGAGACCAAAUGGCGCCUCCUGGGUGUGGUUAGCUCCGCGGAUGCCCUGGGUCCACCAACAGAGGCCUGGAUUGCCGUCACUCCCAGCACUGGCCCUGUCCCCGUCCCCGUGCCUCCUGUCUGAUGUCUCCCUUGCUGGUGCAGCCUGAGUCCGGCUCCGGCCCGGCCCCAGAUCAGCCCCUGGUCCCGCCCUCCCCACCACCCUUACCCCAGCCUGUCCAGUGUCCCCUUGCUGGUACCACCUGAGUCCAGCUUCAGCCCGGCCCCAGAGCUCAGUCUGUUGAGUCAGGUUCUGGGUUUGCACGUCUGAGCCCUGGUGGAGCCCCUGGGCUGCCAGAGAAAGGCCUUCCCUGUCCCCGCCUCACCCGCCGGGCACCCCUCGGGCCCCCUCUGGCUUUGGUGAUGGCUGCACGCCCUCCGUCUUGCUUCUAAUGACCAUGUCCUAGUGCCUCAACCUUCCCUAACCGCAAGUGUCCCGCAGGCAGUGACCUGAUGGCCUGCAUGUGCCGGGCGGACGCCGGGGCCUCUGGCUUAUCAGCAGACAGAGGCCAGGAGGCUCUUUCUCACCCUUUGCCUCCUGUUCCAACUGAAAUGGACAGUUCGGUCCCUUCCAGCCCACCGUCUGAGCACCUGCCUAUCUGCCUUUGCCGGUGCUAUGCCUGUUGUCUCGAGCACCUGUUGUCUGGGGCUCCUCGCCUGACAGUCCCUCGGGUCUCCAUUCAGACAGCCCCAGACCCCCUGGGAGAAGUGCUGUGAUGUGCUCCCACACCCACUUCGAGGGAGGGAAGCUGGGAGGGAUCCUGGCUUCCCAGGGGGCCACCAUCAGCCCCUGGACGAACGCUGGGAUCGAUUAGGUAUCUUCAGGAGCAUCUACUGUGGCAAGAGCUGAGGUGUUUGGGUCCUGCUAGAGCCGGGCACUGAGGACUGCGCCAAGAAGGGCCUCCCUCUGUCCCCUCUGGGGGGACGUGGUGUGGCGGGGACUGGGGCGUCUGAGUCCGGCCUUGACCCUGCACGAUGUGGCUGUGACCUGACGGAACGCGGGCUCUCCGUGUCUCGUUGACCUGGGCGUAUCAAAUGGGGUCGUGUCUCCUGCAGGGCCUUACAAACUGUAAGGUGCGGUGCACGAACCAUGCGAACGGCUGGAGCCCAACCACCUUUGAGCGAAAGCAGCAGCCCUUUCUCAUGGGUCACCCCACCCCGUGCAUCCUGCCUGUGCUGCCAGGGCAGGGCGGGCCGUAGCAGUAAUAGUGCGCCUUGGGGGGUGCCAGGCACCCACACUUCUGAGUGAUCUACUCUUCUGUGCCCUACGGGAGCCGGGUGAGGGAGGGGCUGUGGGCAGCCUGCUUCAGAAGUUUGGGUGGUCACGCUUGGGAUCCUGUCUCUCUCUCUCUCUCUCUCUCUCUCUCAAAAGUAAAGAAACAUUAAAAAAAAAAUUAAAAGGAGUUUGGUCCAUCAGAGCUAGCUCACGGCCACAGAAGAAGGGACAGAGGCGGGAUUUGAGCCCAAGCACCUGCCACGUGCCGUGGCUCAGGAGCCGUGGCCGCAGCUCCAGAGGUGCGGCCGCCACCACCGCUGUCUGGGAGCCGCGGAAUAGGAUUUUAUAGGAGGAAGAAGGAUUGUUUCAGGUGCUUAUGGAGCCCCUGCUGUAUGCCUGGGCUCAGGAAGGCACUCUGUGUUUUUUUUAGAAGAGCUGAGCCGUGUGCCCAAAGAGUGGGACCCAGCCUUCUCCAUCGUGUGUCACCGACUGCUUCAUAGCCUCUGACCGCAGUCCUGUGUUUCCAGCGACCCACCGGGUAGCCCACCUUUAAUUUGCCCAACCAACCACACUUUGUUCUGUCUCUCUGCCCUCUGGCCUGGGACUCGAACCCUCGGGCCACGUCUCUGCUGCUGGCUCAAAGAGAGCAUGGCCCAAGGCAGGUCCCCGGGGAUGUGCUCAAUGCCCCUGGGGCUGUGGGCUGCUGGGGCUGCUGGGGCUGUGGCCUUGGGCUCAGAGGCUCCCUGACCUUGUCAUGGGACCUCUCAGCUUUGCUGGGAAGCCGUAUCCACUCCUGACUCUUACCUGUGUGUAGACAGAGGUCAAGUCGCUUACCCACGGUCGCUCAGUAAGGAAGUGUGGCUGAGGGUCCAAGCUGGGUGUGACCGUUGGGCUGUGGCAGCCUCUGAGGGGCAGGGGAAAGGCAAGCGGCAGAGGACCACGUGAGGGGCUGAAAACCCAGGGAUAAGAGAGGAAGGGGCUGGCUGCACAGAAGUCUUGAGGCUGGCACCGACCUUGCUGCUCUGGCCGCCCCAGGUUCCCGGGCAGAGGAGUGACUCCCCCAUUUUAGAGCUGUGCAGACUGAGGCACCUGCCCGGCCACUCUUAGGGGACUGCAACCUCCCAUAGGCUCCCGGGCGGCCACGCGGCCGACAGCUGCUGGGCCUCAGGUUUCCCUCGGAGCCAGUGCCUGGCCCGGCCACUUCCCCUGUGGUCACUCGGCACGGUCUCCUGGGCCAGGGCUCCCGGCUGUGGUCUCAGCGCUCGUCCAAGAGCUUACCCCAGGGGGCAGCGGAGAAACUUAAUCAAUUGCUAAAAAACAAAAAUAAGUCAGCUGCCUACCAGCUGUGAAGCUGUUUGCGGCCUUAGAGCCUGUGGCAUGGGUGGCAGCCCGUGCUGGGACCCGGUGCUGCCCGUGUGGUUCCAGGCCCGCUCCUGAGCCCACGCGAAGCCAGGGGUGGGGGGUGGGGGGCCAGCGAGGGGAGCUGGGGCUGAAGGGAGGUGGGCACGCCGCUUCCCGAGUCCGGCAUGAAACGAUGCGGGUGGAAAGAGCCGCCCUGGGGUGGUGCGAACCUCUGGGCAGGGAGGGGCCUGUCCUUUCUUGGAGAUGCGGGUUCUGUGGGGACAGUCCGUGAUGUCCACUCUGCCUGCUGGGAAGGCCAGGUGGGGGGCGCAGGGCUUGGGGGCCCUCCGCAUCCUGGGAUGUGUUGUUUUGCUCAUCGUGAAAAAUCCUUUCCCGUGUCGGGGUGCAGAGGGGAUUAACUGUGAGAACCCUCCAAGUCGCACUGGGCGACCUGCCAAUCUCCUCCUGCUGGGCUGUCAGGGGCUACAGGCCCUCUUGCCCCAUCCCUUCUCCUGUCCUUCCCUCCCACUCGGCUCAGAUCCUGGAGGGCCAAAUAAGUCACCCCCGCAUGGCGGUUUCAUUCCCCCCCGCCCCCAUCCCCCGAUUGUCCAGUGAGAAAACCUUGUCUCAGGGCCCAGGCCCCUCCCCAGGGCAACCACGAGGCCUCUAAG
This is a long non-coding RNA of Neofelis nebulosa (Clouded leopard), 7030 nucleotides long. RefSeq lists it as uncharacterized. The transcript is spliced from 3 exons. The record is from RefSeq and is a predicted model, not a curated record. NCBI's taxonomy places the organism in Eukaryota, Metazoa, Chordata, Mammalia, Carnivora, Felidae.